Non-coding RNA from Ceratotherium simum simum (southern white rhinoceros), 123 nucleotides. NCBI's taxonomy places the organism in Eukaryota, Metazoa, Chordata, Mammalia, Perissodactyla, Rhinocerotidae. The record is from RefSeq and is a predicted model, not a curated record.
CCAGACAAAGAAGAAGAAUGAUGCUCAGAUUCCUCUACAGUUUAUUGUUACAGCAGAAGUUGUAGAAGACAGGAGGGCACCCUCCACACAUAACACACUGUAGUCAGAGCCCCAAGGUGGCAG